Chroicocephalus ridibundus (black-headed gull) is the source of this 3319-nucleotide long non-coding RNA. RefSeq lists it as uncharacterized. The transcript has 4 exons. Lineage: Eukaryota; Metazoa; Chordata; Aves; Charadriiformes; Laridae. The record is from RefSeq and is a predicted model, not a curated record.
UUAGCCUCGGCGGGGAGGGAUUGUAUCAUAAAAAGAAUUUGGGCUACAGAAGAGGAAGGAGCAGGAGUGGAGGGAGAGCUAAAAAAAUGCUUAUUUGCCUGAAAGCUUUGUGUAAGGAGGCCCUUCAAAAUUCUCAUACAGGGGGAGACCUAUGCUUAGAAGAGCUACUUCCAUAAGUUGUAUUAGUUCUGCUAAAUAUUUGUUAAAUUUCUUCGAAAUGCUAGUCCUUGCGUCUCCUUUUACGGCCCAGAGGCGCUCGCGCUCUCGUCCACCUGCUUUGCCGUGGGUCUGUGCUCUGGCCUGGCAGAGUCUCGUCGUUUUGGGCUGCCUCCAUCCUCCGCUGAGCCUUCUGUUUUCUCCGAGAAUCCAAACACUGCAUAUUCUCUUCCUAGCACACAUCGUUAACCAGCUGGUUGCGUUAUCUUGAACGAAUUCAGCUGAAGUUUUAUGCCAGGCUCCUCUGUGCGCUUUAAUAUCCAAUUAUGUCAUUGGAAUGUAACUUCUGAUGGAUUUGCCCAGAGAUUAAGUUUAUAUUCUUUCUGUUGCCGUCUUCUUGAGGUAUAAAAGGAACUUGAAAUGUCUGCGGCCUGAACACAUCAGCUCUGAAAUACCAGGAAUGCUGAGUUUGAUCUGGGCUUUGCUGGAGGCCUCACUGCUGUGUCUGAAAGCGUGUUGUUUGUAAAUCCUAACCCCCUAAGUGAAAGAGUAAUGAGAAUCGGAAUUCCACGGUAUUCUUUAUCCAAAUUUAAUUUUUCGCACGGAGGAAGAGAAUUUCCAGAUGCUGUUUAUCAGACCGAAGGAGCCCCUGGUCCUGAAGAGGGCUGUAAAUAAGCGAAAACCUUAUGGCGCUUGCAUGGAAUGUUUUGGGUUUGUUUUUUUUGUCUUCCCUAAUUACGUGCAAGUUUCAGAAAUAAAUACAGCACUUCAGGAGUGAAGUGGCGUUCCCACAGCCCUGCUGUGUUGGUGGCCGUGCGGAGAGGUGGGAUGUCACAGCCAUCGAAGGUGCGGAGUGCCUGAAAAACAUACCUUGUGGUUGAUGGUUUUCUCCCGAAGCUCCGUCGGAGGCCGCUGGGUUACUGUGACAGUACUUCAACGUGUUGCCGCUGGAAGCAUUUACAUCACUGUAAAAGACACCCGGAAAAGGCUUAAGCAUGUGACUGGGAGCCAGGAAAACUAGAUUCCAUUCAUGGCAUUGUACAGGCUUCCUGUAUGAAUUUGAACUAGCUGUUGAAUCCAACCUUCGGUAAGUUGGCUGGUCAGACGAGUGACUUCCUUUGCUGUCAGUGGCUAAAAAUCCCACAUACGGACAGUUUGCAUUGGUUUAAGAAAAAUAAAAUAAAGCUGGAGGAAGCGCCCUUGGGAAUGGGAGCAAGAAAGCUGCGUUGCUGAGGAGGUGAUUGUUGUUUGCCUGAGAAAACCUGGCAUAGGGCACAUACCAGAAUUAUAUAAACUCGUAGCCAGACUUAAAGACCCCACAAACCCCAGCUUCUGGAUAUCUAACUUGGGAUGAUUUUGGUUUAAUCUCUAAAGCUGGUGAUUUUCUGUGGCAAUUCUGCCAUGGCCUGGUGGGCCUUGAGAAGGAUUUGGCAAGUUUAACUUGGGAGUCUUCAGUGCCCCCUGCUACUUUCUCUAUGCUAAAAAAAAACCCCAAAAGACAUGUUUAAGCUCUUUUGAAUAAUGCAAAAAGAGGGGUGGUGUCUGAAGACGCAAACAACAGAAAACCUGAAAGGUGCUGGAAGGGACAGAAGUCUGUCCUAUAGAGAGAUGCUUCAUCCUUGAAGGCAUUAACCGUCUUCAGCUAAUGAUGGUUGGAAUAUAUUUGCUAAUGCAUUCCAGCAGUGUGACUCUCCAAGUAAUGUGGUUUUCCAAGAGUUUAUAUCCUCGAUAAAGCUGACGAUAGUGUUUGGGGUUUUUUUCUCCCGAAGACAUCACUCGAGUUGGAGCUACUUAACUCUGAAGCCUGAUGCUUUUCUUUCUUCAUUAAGAAUAGUUCGGGUGACGGCUGCAGAACUCCAAACGGGCAGGGCAGUCUCCAAACCCCGGAUGACUGAAGUCUGGUCGCUUUUAGAGCCUGGAACUCCAGGAACUGAACCACGUGAGCAGACCGUGGGCUGGCACAGUCUGAAACCGCCGCUGAAGUUUCAGCGACCUAGCGCUCCGGAAUUCCUUUAUGAGAUCUUGCCAGCCUCCGAGAUCUCGGUUUCCCUCGCUGGUGUGAGUCAGGAGCUCUGUGGUCUGUACCGAGUCCUCUGCUGCUCCCCUUGACAAAGCCACAGCAUCUUUCAACUUUUUACCUACUCGUCCAUUUUCCGUUUGACCACGUGCCGUGCAAUCCUGUUCAAAAACACAGCUCCAGCAGCGUUUUGAAUGGGGGGGUUCGGUGGAGGUGAAGGUUUGCGUGGAUUUUUGCAAUCUUCCUUUUACAGGCCACCUUGGCACGUGGAAUGGUGGUCCCUUUUCAUACCCUCCUUCUGCAGGUCAGGUUUCCCAGCGCUAUUGCUCCCACCAAUCUGUUUCAUUCGCUAGAUCAACGUUCUUAAUGAAAACAGCUUUUUUUUCCUGUAGUUCUUCUAUUUGGUGUACCUAGUCCCUCUCUUAUAACUAUUGCUUUUUCUUCUACUGUCUUUUUCUAAUUUUUCUCAGCAGCUGCUGCCUCAUUCCUGAUGCUGCAGUGGUGCAAGUAAUUAAUAAUACAAGUUGCUGGCCGCUGGCUCUUUUGCUGCAUGUAACUUGUUUACUGACUUGCCAUCUGUCUUGGGAAUUGGGAGUAUUCCUCUGGCUGUGGGACUGCUGGUGUGAUAGAUUGCCCCAGCCUGGCAUAUAGGAGGAAACAGUGUGCAGGCUGACUGCUUCGUUCUGCGCUGGAUUGAUAUAUAAAUCGAUUGAUAAAUUGAUACCUACCGAAGAAAUCUUUAAUAGAGAGUUUGUACGCGGUUCUUCAACGCGGGCUUUUCUUUUCCUGAAGAGGGAAAUGUCCCUGAGAGCUUGUGAGCAGCCUUCCCUUGGGAAGCUUUCUCAGCAUCAGCAGGGACUCCCCUCUUUUCCCAUCCAUUAGCUUGGCAGCACUGGGACCAAAGAAAGUCCCGUGAUCUGACCCAGCUGAGUGGUUGACACUGAUUUCUUGCCUUUUGGUUGAGGUACUUGAGAUCUCCAGGUCAUCCUCCUUCCUGGUACCUCAACAAAUCCAAGCCCGUGGGGCUCUAGCACCUGGUGCACUCAGCUUGAAGAGCUACUCUGCAAAGUAUCUUGUCGAAAAACCCUUCUGUAGUUCUAGCUGGAUGAUGACAAGUUAAAAAAAAAAAAAGUCAUGUAUCAUCUU